This 497-nucleotide ribosomal RNA is filed under the name uncultured bacterium. Its description in RNAcentral is "partial 16S ribosomal RNA". It matches the Rfam family "Bacterial small subunit ribosomal RNA", at positions 28 to 507 of the family's 1533-position model. The record is from RNAcentral.
GAUGAACGCUGGCGGCGUGCCUAAUACAUGCAAGUCGAGCGAACGGACGAGAAGCUUGCCUCUCUGAUGUUAGCGGCGGACGGGUGAGUAACACGUGGAUAACCUACCUAUAAGACUGGGAUAACUUCGGGAAACCGUAGCUAAUACCGGAUAAUAUUUUGAACCGCAUGGUUCAAAAGUUAAAUACGGUCUUGCUGUCACUUAUAGAUGGAUCCGCGCUGCAUUAGCUAGUUGGUAAGGUAACGGCUUACCAAGGCAACGAUGCAUAGCCGACCUGAGAGGGUGAUCGGCCAAACGGGAACUGAGACACGGACAAGACGACGACGGGAGGCAGCAGAAGGGAAUAUUCCGCAAUGGGCGAAAGCCUGACGGAGCAACGCCGCGUGAGUGAUGAAGGACUUCGGAUCGUAAAACUAUGUUAUUAGGGAAGAAAAAAUGUGAAAGUAAAUGUGCACAGCGUGACGGUAACUAAUAAGAAAGCAACGGCUAACUACGUG